GUAGGGANUCUUCGGCAAUGGACGGAAGUCUGACCGAGCAACGCCGCGUGAGUGAAGAAGGUUUUCGGAUCGUAAAGCUCUGUUGUAAGAGAAGAACGAGUGUGAGAGUGGAAAGUUCACACUGUGACGGUAUCUUACCAGAAAGGGACGGCUAACUACGUGCCAGCAGCCGCGGUAAUACGUAGGUCCCGAGCGUUGUCCGGAUUUAUUGGGCGUAAAGCGAGCGCAGGCGGUUAGAUAAGUCUGAAGUUAAAGGCUGUGGCUUAACCAUAGUACGCUUUGGAAACUGUUUAACUUGAGUGCAAGAGGGGAGAGUGGAAUUCCAUGUGUAGCGGUGAAAUGCGUAGAUAUAUGGAGGAACACCGGUGGCGAAAGCGGCUCUCUGGCUUGUAACUGACGCUGAGGCUCGAAAGCGUGGGGAGCAAACAGGAUUAGAUACCCUGGUAGUCCACGCCGUAACGAUGAGUGCUAGGUGUUAGACCCUUUCCGGGGUUUAGUGCCGUAGCUNACGCAUUANGCACUCCGCCUGGGGAGUACGACCGCAAGGUUGAA
RNAcentral lists this ribosomal RNA (552 nucleotides) under uncultured bacterium. RNAcentral describes it as "bacterial SSU rRNA". It matches the Rfam family "Bacterial small subunit ribosomal RNA", at positions 354 to 898 of the family's 1533-position model. The record is from RNAcentral.